UGCUAGUAAUUAAAAAAAGAAACAAACAUAAAAUGUUGGUAACCCUGCACACAGAACUUUCAUUUGUGUUUUCUUUUCUAGAGCCAGGUGAGGGUACAAAACGCGGGUGAGUGUCCCUUGCAGAAGAGCUUUUCCUCCUCCCCAAUACCCCACUUGCUAUUCAACCCCCCCAGCCCUUAUUCUGCCCUGGCGCCCCUCCUCUCCCAAUAUUAACCCUCUCCUUUGCGCUUACUUAGUCCCUCGCCCCUUUGAAUCUCAUGAUCCUCUAAAUAUCAGUUGCUGGGAAUCACAAGUGAGGAGAGUGCAGUUGCACUCAGGUCCUGCUUGCGGGUUUCUGGUAGGUAUCGGGUUGGCCACUGUGAAAACAGGAUGCUGGACUACUAGCCACAACGACUAUGUUCUCCCUCCGCUCUUGUUGGCACUAUGCCUCUGAAUCUCAGUUGCUGGGGAUCGCAAGUGGGGAGAGUUGCUGUUGCGCUCAGAUCCUUCUUGAGGGUUUCCCAUAAUGGGCAUCUGGUUGGCCACUGUGAGAACAGGAUGCUGGACUAGAUGGGCCACUGGCCUGAUCCUGUGUUCUUAAAUUUUCUGCCUAUGGUUUUGUGAAAGUGGGGCACAUCCUUCUGUUGCCCCCAGAAGGAGGCAGGAUCAGCCCUCCGCUCUACAUGAAGAGCCGACUACGUUCUGUUGUGAAGCUUGUGACCCGUUUCUCUAGUUCUUACAGUUUAAACGGCUGCUGGAAAAAUGCUUCCCGGACACGCUAGACAUUACUGGGGAAGUUACUGAGGAAGGUGCCUUUGACGUGAUUCUCCCAGAGACUGGCGAGGUUUUGCACUCUAAGACCAAAGGUGAUGGGUACGUGGACACCAAUGAAAAGGUAAAUAAAAUCUGUAGCGGCAUCAAGGCUACCCUGAACACCAGGUCCAAAUGCAGUAACGUGCAAGAAGCGGCGUCGGCAUUAUUAACAGAACAAGAACCAGCUGUGGAACAGGGGCUGGAGGUGAAAGAAGGGCAGGCGAUGCCAGAAGCUGCGACAGAUGCAGUCCCCCUUGCCUCGACUUGAAGCCACCCCUCAAGCAUCAAGAUGUCCAGGACGUGAAGGCUGCUGGGGAGCAGGUCAUGAAGGAAUCGUCCGAAAGGGUGCAGCGACCUUGGCCGAUCCCCGAUAACCCCCCUGGCCCUCCCCUGCUAAGUUCCCCCCACCUACCUGC
Molecule: long non-coding RNA, 1208 nt
Organism: Rhineura floridana
Lineage: Eukaryota; Metazoa; Chordata; Lepidosauria; Squamata; Rhineuridae
Exons: 4
Source: RefSeq, a predicted model, not a curated record